GCUGAAACUCGCCUACAUGAAGCUGGAGUUACUAGUAAUCGCAGAUCAGAAUGCUGCGGUGAAUGCGUUCCCGGGUCUUGUACACACCGCCCGUCACACCACGGGCGUUGGAGACGCCCGAAGCCGAUUAUCUAACCUUUUGGAAGAAGUCGUCGAAGGUGGAAUCAAUAACUGGGGUGAAGUCGUAACAAGGUAGCCGUAUCGGAAGGUGCGGCUGGAUCACCUCCUUUCUA
RNAcentral lists this ribosomal RNA (233 nucleotides) under Clostridioides difficile. RNAcentral describes it as "partial 16S ribosomal RNA". It matches the Rfam family "Bacterial small subunit ribosomal RNA", at positions 1304 to 1533 of the family's 1533-position model. Lineage: Bacteria; Bacillati; Bacillota; Clostridia; Peptostreptococcales; Peptostreptococcaceae. The record is from RNAcentral.